GAUGAACGCUGGCGGCGUGCCUAAUACAUGCAAGUCGAGCGAACAGACGAGGAGCUUGCUCCUCUGACGUUAGCGGCGGACGGGUGAGUAACACGUGGAUAACCUACCUAUAAGACUGGGAUAACUUCGGGAAACCGGAGCUAAUACCGGAUAAUAUAUUGAACCGCAUGGUUCAAUAGUGAAAGACGGUUUUGCUGUCACUUAUAGAUGGAUCCGCGCCGCAUUAGCUAGUUGGUAAGGUAACGGCUUAACAAGGCGACGAUGCGUAGCCGACCUGAGAGGGUGAUCCGCCACACUGGAACUGAGACACGGUCCAGACUCCUACGGGAGGCAGCAGUAGGGAAUCUUCCGCAAUGGGCGAAAGCCUGACGGAGCAACGCCGCGGGAGUGAUGAAGGACUUCGGAUCGUAAAACUCUGUUAGUAGGGAAGAACAAAUGUGUAAGUAACUAUGCAGGUCUUGACGGUACCUAAUCAGAAAGCCACGGCUAACUACGUG
This 497-nucleotide ribosomal RNA is filed under the name uncultured bacterium. Its description in RNAcentral is "partial 16S ribosomal RNA". It matches the Rfam family "Bacterial small subunit ribosomal RNA", at positions 28 to 507 of the family's 1533-position model. The record is from RNAcentral.